Molecule: long non-coding RNA, 911 nt
Filed under: Pogona vitticeps (central bearded dragon)
Lineage: Eukaryota; Metazoa; Chordata; Lepidosauria; Squamata; Agamidae
Description: lncRNA (ENSPVIG00000013736.1)
Source: RNAcentral
UCUGGUUCAAGACGGCUUGAUUCCCAGCCGAACAGUUCGGCCGCAGCAAAGCUGCCCUGGGACUUUCUGAAGACAACUCCACACGCGCGCCCGCGAGCACGCGCUUCCCUUCCCUUAGCCCGAUCGGUUAUGCCCUGCCAACGCUGCGGGCUGAUUUCGGGAAAUUUUCUGGCCGUAGCCCCGUCUAGGGUCAGCCAAGAAGUAAAUGAAUGAAUAAAUAAAUAAGGCAUUGUUAAUGGGGGUCCGGAGGGUAGGUGGGGGAUGAAGAGGACGGGUGGACAGGAAGGCGCAGGGGUUUUGCCUAACAGGGCGACUGAGCUCUCCAUCUUCCCUCUAAGCCUGUUAGGGACACAUUCUCAUGUCCUUAAACGUACAAGCAGAUAAUUGUUGGCGCUCUAUCUUUGUGCGAAGGAGGCCAGGGUGUAAAUGCCUUUUAAUGACUGCAGCUGCUGGCUGAAAACUGUCAAUGGAAUUGGCUAAUGCAGAGCCCCCGGAAAAGGGGGAGAGGGGGAAAAAAAGGGGGCUUUUGCGAGGGAGCUGCUGAGCCUGAGCGCCGUUGGAGCCGAAGAGGGAGGCUGGAGAGGGCGAGAAAGAGACAGGCAGACAGGCAGACAGACAGAAAGAAGAAGAAAAAGAGCGGGGGUGGAUUGGGGGGGGGGAGAGGGAGAGGGAGAGAUUGGAGGAAAGAUCGCAGCGACCAAGCCACCCGCUCUUCCGCCUCUGCACCAGGGCGAAGGAAAACAAGUCUUUCUGCCCUAGAAAAAUCUUUUCCGGCUCCUGAGUAUGGCUGGUCUGAACCUUCAUUUUACAAUUACUGCCAACAUUGGAUAUAUGGGAGAGCACCUGCUGCAGAUGCCCUCCAGACGGAAGGGGACGCCGGAAGAGAAGGGAGGAGGAAGAGGCGAUGGUGA